AUGAACAACAAUACUUGUUCACAAUCUUCAACCAAACAAACCCCAAUCAACAACAAACCCUCUUUCAUGCCAGCAAAAGAUGACACCAAACCCGUGCUUCAAGACCCAAUAUUGAGGUCUGAUCCAAUUGAAACAGAGGAAGCUGUGCUGCUAUUGCCUCCAUUCUCAAUCCCCAAAUCAAAUCAAAUUCCUCAUCUCAAAUGA
This is a non-coding RNA of Vicia faba (fava bean), 204 nucleotides long. Lineage: Eukaryota; Viridiplantae; Streptophyta; Magnoliopsida; Fabales; Fabaceae. The record is from the annotation of a GenBank genome assembly.